This 253-nucleotide ribosomal RNA is filed under the name uncultured bacterium. Its description in RNAcentral is "partial 16S ribosomal RNA". It matches the Rfam family "Bacterial small subunit ribosomal RNA", at positions 524 to 776 of the family's 1533-position model. The record is from RNAcentral.
UACAGAGGUCUCGAGCGUUAGUCGGAGUCACUGGGCUUAAAGCGUACGUAGGCGGAUAUGCAGGCGUCGUGUGAAAUCCCUCGGCUCAACCGGGGAACUGCACGGCGAACCGCAUGUCUUGAGAUCGGUAGGGGCUGUCGGAACGAUAGGUGGAGUGGUGAAAUGCGUUGAUAUCUAUCGGAACGCCGAAGGUGAAGACAGGCAGCUGGGCCGAUUCUGACGCUGAGGUACGAAAGCGUGGGGAGCGAACGGG